UAAACAUGUCUAUUAAUAUUUUAGAAGGAUACUUAAACUGAGGUGCAUUGAUGAUAAUAACUUUUGAUUUUGACCAUGCUUGGAAAGCCUGCAGACAGUUAAGGUUUACAGACUUUAAAACGGUAACCUCAACAUCAGAAUUACUUGAAAAAUGGCCAUUUUAUAAAAGGCCAUAUGGGUUUCGUUUGAUUAACAUGGGCGUUACGGCAGGAUUUGAUACUAAUCACGAUAGUUGGUUAAUGAAUUGGAAGCAAUGUGAGGAGAUAAUUAUGCAUUCCUAAGUGACAAAAAUCAUGUUAAAGAAAAAGGCGUACGCAACAUCGUAAAACAAUUACGAGAAAUGUGUACCAAUGAUGAUGACGAUUGUGGCGUAGCAGCCGUUAUGUGGCAUCACUAAUACAACCUUUUAUGAUGGCAAUUGGCGAGAAUAUUUUUAAAUUUAAAUUUAAAGUUUUGAAGUUGCCAUAAAACACCUAUUUAGAUAUGUGUUGCAGUAC
Non-coding RNA from Onthophagus taurus, 497 nucleotides. NCBI's taxonomy places the organism in Eukaryota, Metazoa, Arthropoda, Insecta, Coleoptera, Scarabaeidae. The record is from RefSeq and is a predicted model, not a curated record.